Molecule: long non-coding RNA, 220 nt
Filed under: Brassica napus (rape)
Lineage: Eukaryota; Viridiplantae; Streptophyta; Magnoliopsida; Brassicales; Brassicaceae
Description: long non-coding RNA (BNAP_LNC002866)
Source: RNAcentral
GGGGCUAGCAAAGUUGUUAGGAGCUAAGAAAUGUUUUGAGGUUGCAGAAAAAUCCCUUGUAGAUUUCAAAAAGAAAGAGUUAAAGUUCUUAGGAUCUAUUGGUGAGAGAUGUGAGUUGGGUUUGACAUUUGGGAAUGAUUGUGUAAUUGUAUGUUUGGGAAAAGGGUAGAAUAAUGGAGAUUGAGCAUUGUAUGCAUGAGUUGGUCCCUUUCUUAGAUAU